CGAGUCCGAGUCUCCACGGAGACGAAGUGGCGGUCAUCCAGCUUCCUAGAAAAGCUCUAACCACGUUAAUCUUUAGUUGCCUGUACCCGAAACCGACACAGGUAGGGGGGUAGAGAAUACCAAGGGGCGCGAGAUAACUCUCUCUAAGGAACUCGGCAAAAUGACCCCGUAACUUCGGGAGAAGGGGUACCACUGAGAAGUGGUCGCAGUGAAGAGGCCCAGGCGACUGCUUACCAAAAACACAGGUCUCCGCCAAGUCGCAAGACGAAGUAUGGGGGCUGACGCCUGCCCAGUGCCGGAAGGUUAAGGAAGUGGGUUAGGGAUUCGUCCCGAAGCUGACGACUGAAGCCCCGGUGAACGGCGGCCGUAACUAUAACGGUCCUAAGGUAGCGAAAUUCCUUGUCGGGUAAGUUCCGACCCGCACGAAAGGCGUAACGAUCUGGGCGCUGUCUCGGAGAGAGGCUCGGCGAAAUAGGAUUGUCUGUGAAGAUACGGACUACCUGCACCUGGACAGAAAGACCCUAUGAAGCUUUACUGUAGCUUGGAAUUGGGUUCGGGCUUGGUUUGCGCAGGAUAGGUGGGAGGCGAAGAAGAUUUGCUUGUGGGUGAAUCUGAGCCAACGGUGAGAUACCACUCUAACCAGGCUAGAAUUCUAACUUCAACCCGUCAACCGGGGGAAGGACAGUUUCAGGUGGGCAGUUUGACUGGGGCGGUCGCCUCCUAAAAGAUAACGGAGGCGCACAAAGGUUCCCUCAGGCUGGUUGGAAAUCAGCCAACGAGUGCAAAGGCAGAAGGGAGCUUGACUGCGAGACCUACAAGUCAAGCAGGGUGGAAACACGGUCUUAGUGAUCCGACGGCACCGAGUGGAAGGGCCGUCGCUCAACGGAUAAAAGUUACUCUAGGAUAACAGCCUGAUCUCCCCCAAGAGUUCACAUCGACGGGGAGGUUUGGCACCUCGAUGUCGGCUCAUCGCAACCUGGGGCGGAAGUACGUCCCAAGGGUUGGGCUGUUCGCCCAUUAAAGCGGUACGUGAGCUGGGUUCAGAACGUCGUGAGACAGUUCGGUCCAUAUCCGGUGUAGGCGCAAGAACAUUGAGAGGAGUCUUUCUUAGUACGAGAGGACCGGGAAGAACGCACCGCUGGUGUACCUGUUAUCGUGCCAACGGUAAACGCAAGGUAGCCAAGUGCGGAGUGGAUAACCGCUGAAAGCAUCUAAGUGGGAAGCCCACCUCAAGAUGAGUGUUCUCAUGGAGUAAUCCAGUAAGGUCACGGGAAGACGACCCGUUGAUAGGCGGUAGGUGGAAGUUCAGCAAUGGAUGAAGCCGAGCCGUACUAACAGACCGAGGGCUUGAU
RNAcentral lists this ribosomal RNA (1352 nucleotides) under metagenome. RNAcentral describes it as "bacterial LSU rRNA". It matches the Rfam family "Bacterial large subunit ribosomal RNA", at positions 1564 to 2925 of the family's 2925-position model. The record is from RNAcentral.